UACGUAGGGUGCGAGCGUUAUUCGGAUUCACUGGGCGUAAAGGGUGCGCAGGCGGCCUUGUGUGUGAGGCGUGAAAGCCCGGGGCUUAACCCCGGAAUUGCACCUCAAACUACACGGCUAGAGCAUUGGAGAGGGUAGCGGAAUUCACGGUGUAGCAGUGAAAUGCGUAGAUAUCGUGAGGAACACCAGAGGCGAAGGCGGCUACCUGGACAAUUGCUGACGCUCAGGCACGAAAGCGUGGGGAGCAAAAGGG
RNAcentral lists this ribosomal RNA (253 nucleotides) under uncultured bacterium. RNAcentral describes it as "partial 16S ribosomal RNA". It matches the Rfam family "Bacterial small subunit ribosomal RNA", at positions 524 to 776 of the family's 1533-position model. The record is from RNAcentral.